UGAGGAAUAUUGGUCAAUGGACGAGAGUCUGAACCAGCCAAGUAGCGUGAAGGAUGACUGCCCUAUGGGUUGUAAACUUCUUUUAUACGGGAAUAAAGUGAGGCACGUGUGCCUUUUUGUAUGUACCGUAUGAAUAAGGAUCGGCUAACUCCGUGCCAGCAGCCGCGGUAAUACGGAGGAUCCGAGCGUUAUCCGGAUUUAUUGGGUUUAAAGGGAGCGUAGGCGGACGCUUAAGUCAGUUGUGAAAGUUUGCGGCUCAACCGUAAAAUUGCAGUUGAUACUGGGUGUCUUGAGUACAGUAGAGGCAGGCGGAAUUCGUGGUGUAGCGGUGAAAUGCUUAGAUAUCACGAAGAACUCCGAUUGCGAAGGCAGCUUGCUGGACUGUAACUGACGCUGAUGCUCGAAAGUGUGGGUAUCAAACAGGAUUAGAUACCCUGGUAGUCCACACAGUAAACGAUGAAUACUCGCUGUUUGCGAUAUACAGUAAGCGGCCAAGCGAAAGCGUUAAGUAUUCCACCUGGGGAGUACGCCGGCAACGGUGAAACUCAAAGGAAUUGACGGGGGCCCGCACAAGCGGAGGAACAUGUGGCUUAAUUCGAUGAUACGCGAGGAACCUUACCCGGGCUUGAAUUGCAACUGAAUGAUGUGGAGACAUGUCAGCCGCAAGGCAGUUGUGAAGGUGCUGCAUGGUUGUCGUCAGCUCGUGCCGUGAGGUGUCGGCUUAAGUGCCAUAACGAGCGCAACCCUUAUCGAUAGUUACCAUCAGGUUAUGCUGGGGACUCUGUCGAGACUGCCGUCGUAAGAUGUGAGGAAGGUGGGGAUGACGUCAAAUCAGCACGGCCCUUACGUCCGGGGCUACACACGUGUUACAAUGGGGGGUACAGAAGGCAGCUACACGGCGACGUGAUGCUAAUCCCUAAAGCCUCUCUCAGUUCGGAUUGGAGUCUGCAACCCGACUCCAUGAAGCUGGAUUCGCUAGUAAUCGCGCAUCAGCCACGGCGCGGUGAAUACGUUCCC
This 1017-nucleotide ribosomal RNA is filed under the name uncultured organism. RNAcentral describes it as "bacterial SSU rRNA". It matches the Rfam family "Bacterial small subunit ribosomal RNA", at positions 355 to 1375 of the family's 1533-position model. The record is from RNAcentral.